RNAcentral lists this ribosomal RNA (468 nucleotides) under uncultured bacterium. RNAcentral's name for it is "partial 16S ribosomal RNA". It matches the Rfam family "Bacterial small subunit ribosomal RNA", at positions 28 to 507 of the family's 1533-position model. The record is from RNAcentral.
GACGAACGCUGGCGGCGUGCUUAACACAUGCAAGUCGAACGGAAAGGCCCUGCUUUUGUGGGGUGCUCGAGUGGCGAACGGGUGAGUAACACGUGAGUAACCUGCCCUUGACUUUGGGAUAACUUCAGGAAACUGGGGCUAAUACCGGAUAGGAGCUCUUGCUGCAUGGUGGGGGUUGGAAAGUUUCGGCGGUUGGGGAUGGACUCGCGGCUUAUCAGCUUGUUGGUGGGGUAGUGGCUUACCAAGGCUUUGACGGGUAGCCGGCCUGAGAGGGUGACCGGCCACAUUGGGACUGAGAUACGGCCCAGACUCCUACGGGAGGCAGCAGUGGGGAAUAUUGCACAAUAGGCGGAAGCCUGAUGCAGCAACGCCGCGUGCGGGAUGACGGCCUUCGGGUUGUAAACCGCUUUCGCCUGUGACGAAGCGUGAGUGACGGUAAUGGGUAAAGAAGCACCGGCUAACUACGUG